This 87-nucleotide non-coding RNA is filed under the name Erwinia pyrifoliae. RNAcentral describes it as "Hfq-regulated sRNA 12". It matches the Rfam family "Hfq-regulated sRNA 12". Lineage: Bacteria; Pseudomonadati; Pseudomonadota; Gammaproteobacteria; Enterobacterales; Erwiniaceae. The record is from Rfam by way of RNAcentral.
AUUUUUUAUUUCAUAAUUACCUUCACUUGCCGAAAUGAACUGUAUGACUUCAUAUUCCCGCCAGGCUUAAUGCCUGGCGUUUUUUUA